Molecule: ribosomal RNA, 433 nt
Filed under: uncultured bacterium
Lineage: Bacteria
Description: partial 16S ribosomal RNA
Rfam family: Bacterial small subunit ribosomal RNA
Source: RNAcentral
AACGAACGCUGGCGGCAUGCCUAACACAUGCAAGUCGAACGAGACCUUCGGGUCUAGUGGCGCACGUGUGCGUAACGCGUGGUAACCUGCCCUUAGGUUCGGAAUAACUCCCCGAAAGGUGUGCUAAUACCGGAUAAUGUCUUCGGACCAAAGAUUUAUCGCCUUUGGAUGGGCCCGCGUUGGAUUAGCUAGUUGGUAGGGUAAAAGCCUACCAAGGCGACGAUCCAUAGCUGGUCUGAGAGGAUGAUCAGCCACACUGGGACUGAGACACGGCCCAGACUCCUACGGAAGGCAGCAGUGGGGAAUAUUAGACAAUGGGCGAAAGCCUGAUCCAGCAAUGCCGGGGGAGUGAUGAAGGCCUUAGGGUUGUAAAGCUCUUUUACCCGGGAUGAUAAUGACAGUACCGGGAGAAUAAGCUCCGGCUAACUCCGUG